ACAAUUGGUACAGAGAGCAAAUCGAUUUCUAUGAGCCGAGAGAGAAUUGCUUCAGCAACCACACAAUGUUACAUCAGACACUUUCAACAAACACCUUCAUUACACAGCUGUGAAUCCCAGCCUCCUCCUUUUCUCACUGUCCAGAACAAUAGUCAAAGGCUGCUAGUCCUUCAUGGACAUCAUACUAUAAAACAUACAUAAGAUACGAUAGGAUAUGAUGGCAAAAACUUAUGGCAAAACCACUGUAUAUAUAUAAACCACAGAGUCAACAACAGCCUUACAGUAUUUUUGUUUUUAACCUGCCUAAAAAACAGUUAACCCUAGUUGUCCUUAUUAAUACUAAUAAGUAACAGAGUAACUAACAGAGGAAGGUUCACUUCUAAAUUGCCUUCUCAGUAGUGUUGGAGUAGUUGCACCUGAAACUUUUCAAAAAGAUGUCUUCCAAUAUAAGAUUCGCCCAAGAUUAAUUUGGCCGCAGUGUGUAAGGUGUCAUCUGAGCAGCCAUCCAUUUCUUGCAGCGUUUUUCCCUGUUACGGGUCGCAGGAGGCUGAAGACCACUGCAGCUUAAAUCAGCACACUGUACAAUCACUGUACUAUUAAUUAGCUGUAACAGCUGCACCGUUUGGCUACAUCGGUUAAAAGGAGAGAAGCAGGUUUGCAGCCUAUUGGACCGUCCUAUGAUUAAACGACUUUUAUUUGGUUAUUCUUUUAAACACAAACACUUUUAUCACACCUGUAUACAUAUACUCUAUAUAUUUGUACAUAUAUAUAUUUAUACAUAUAAUACAAAAAAAAAUCAUUCUACAGCACUUACUGCUGCUUGGUCUCACUUGAAACAAUUUCAGCUUCAACCUCUGGGGGGCAGCACGAACUAACUUUGAAAUGGUGACUAAACAUUGAAAGUUCAGAGUUACACAUCACUUUCACAUCAUUGCACAGCUCCACCCUGCGUAUUUGCAUAGAUACAAAAAUGGUUACUUCCUGCUCACUGUUGACUACGGUGAUAUCACCUGUGAUGUGGGGACAUUGUCUGUGGUCACGGCUCGUUGUGUCCCUAAUGUUCCUCACAGUCGUACAGCGAUCACAGUUUAGUUCAUCACUAUCUCUGUGUCAGUAUUUGAAAGCCGCUUCUGCGUCACUCUGAUACGCACCUCUCGUUUUUAAAGCACAUAUUCUUCUGAUACUUGUUAUACACAAGAACAUUCCCCUCACUAAGAGCUUCAAUAAAUGACAAGGUUGUUAUGACGACAGUGAGCACAGCACUCAGUGCAAGAUUAGGGAUCGGUGGAAGCUUUUAGGCUUUUACACACUCCACAGGUUUAAUGAAAUUUCACUUUCCCAAAGGAAAAAAAAAGCCUGAGUUUUAAGUCCCAUGAAGGUUGCUGCUGAAGGGUCAUACAUCUCCUCUGGACAUUUGGUUUGAAAUAAAUCCAAAAUGUAUAUUUUUAACUGUAGAAACCCAAAAGAAAAUCUGAAAUAAUACAAAAAAAAAAAAAA
Molecule: long non-coding RNA, 1497 nt
Organism: Cynoglossus semilaevis (tongue sole)
Lineage: Eukaryota; Metazoa; Chordata; Actinopteri; Pleuronectiformes; Cynoglossidae
Exons: 2
Source: RefSeq, a predicted model, not a curated record